UUGAAAUUGUACGCGACGCACGCAUAAACACGCACAAAAGUUUUUUCAACGUUUAUUAAACAACAAAAAACGUACUUGUACCAGGUUUUUAUAAUUUUACUAGAGCAAGGCAAUUACGUCAACACUGAUUCUAGCCAGAACACUGCUUCCAGUCUUUAAAAAAGCAAGAUAUUGUAUGCCAACCCGCUCAAACCGAGAUGAGGACGUUCAGUGAAAUGUAGAAGUGCUGCCUCAUGUCAUUCUGCAAGACCCCAUUGCAAACACAAGCGUUUCGUCCAGAAAUCCAAAGAAUGGAGGUGUAUCGAAGUUGUGUAGCUGGUCUAACAACCCUGAGGCCAGCAUCACUAUAAAAGAGAAGACGCUACAACAAUAAAAUGACUUUCGUUCUGGG
This 391-nucleotide unclassified non-coding RNA is filed under the name Rhipicephalus microplus (southern cattle tick). RNAcentral's name for it is "uncharacterized LOC119176395, transcript variant X3". Lineage: Eukaryota; Metazoa; Arthropoda; Arachnida; Ixodida; Ixodidae. The record is from RNAcentral.